AUGGCGCAGGGAAGCGGCGGUGCGACCGCCGUGCUCGCGCUGCUCCUCCUCUGCGUGCUCCUCCACGGCGACUUCGCCGAGUCCAAGGUGUACACCGUCGGCGACCGCGCCGGCUGGGCCCUCAGCUCCGGCGGCUGGCCCAGGGGCAAGCGCUUCCGCGCCGGCGACGUGCUGCUGUUCAAGUACGGGCGCGGGGCGCACAACGUGGUGGCGGUGAACGCGGCGGGGUACAAGUCGUGCAGCGCGGCGAGGGGCGGCCGGACGUACAACUCCGGCAGCGACCGCGUCACGCUCGCCCGCGGCACCAACUACUUCAUCUGCAGCGUCCCCGGCCACUGCCAGGCCGGCAUGAAGAUGGCCGUCACCGCCGCAUGA
RNAcentral lists this ribosomal RNA (375 nucleotides) under Triticum aestivum (bread wheat). Its description in RNAcentral is "partial small subunit ribosomal RNA". Lineage: Eukaryota; Viridiplantae; Streptophyta; Magnoliopsida; Poales; Poaceae. The record is from RNAcentral.